AAAACUCCCUUGACGGUACUUAAUGAAUAAGCCCCGGCUAAUUAUGUGCCAGCAGCCGCGGUAAUACAUAAGGGGCGAGCGUUAUCCGGAAUUAUUGGGCGUAAAGGGUGCGUAGGCGGUUUAAUAAGUCUAUAGUUUAAUUUCAGUGCUUAACGCUGUUGUGCUAUAGAAACUGUUUUACUAGAGUGAGUUAGAGGCAAGCGGAAUUCCAUGUGUAGCGGUAAAAUGCGUAAAUAUAUGGAGGAACACCAGAGGCGUAGGCGGCUUGCUGGGACUUUACUGACGCUGAGGCACGAAAGCGUGGGGAGCAAACAGGAUUAGAUACCCUGGUAGUCCACACCGUAAACGAUGAGUACUAAGUGUCGGGUAAAACCGGUACUGAAGUUAACACAUUAAGUACUCCGCCUGAGUAGUACGUACGCAAGUAUGAAACUUAAAGGAAUUGACGGGACUCCGCACAAGCGGUGGAUCAUGUUGUUUAAUUCGAAGAUACACGAAAAACCUUACCAGGUCUUGACAUUUUCUUGCGAAGUUAUAGAAAUAUAAUGGAGGUUAUCAGGAAAACAGGUGGUGCAUGGUUGUCGUCAGCUCGUGUCGUGAGAUGUUAGGUUAAGUCCUAAAACGAGCGCAACCCUUGUCGUUAAUUGCCAGCAUGUAAUGAUGGGGACUUUAACGAGACUGCCAAUGAAAAAUUGGAGGAAGGUGGGGAUUACGUCAAAUCAUCAUGCCCCUUAUGAUCUGGGCUACAAACGUGAUACAAUGGUUGAUACAAAGAGUAGCUGAAACGCGAGUUCUUAGCCAAUCUCACAAAAUCA
RNAcentral lists this ribosomal RNA (815 nucleotides) under Cassava frogskin disease phytoplasma. Its description in RNAcentral is "bacterial SSU rRNA". It matches the Rfam family "Bacterial small subunit ribosomal RNA", at positions 460 to 1284 of the family's 1533-position model. Lineage: Bacteria; Bacillati; Mycoplasmatota; Mollicutes; Acholeplasmatales; Acholeplasmataceae. The record is from RNAcentral.